This 910-nucleotide ribosomal RNA is filed under the name uncultured bacterium. RNAcentral's name for it is "bacterial SSU rRNA". It matches the Rfam family "Bacterial small subunit ribosomal RNA", at positions 8 to 916 of the family's 1533-position model. The record is from RNAcentral.
AGAGUUUGAUCCUGGCUCAGGAUGAACGCUAGCGAGAGGCUUAACACAUGCAAGUCGAGGGGUAACGGGGGAGCUUGCUCCCGCCGACGACCGGCGCACGGGUGAGUAACGCGUAUGCAACCUGCCCGUCACAGGGGGAUAGCCUUCCGAAAGGGAGAUUAAGACCGCAUGAGACCACGCCCCGGCAUCGGGGAGGGGUUAAAUAUUCAUAGGUGGCGGAUGGGCAUGCGUGACAUUAGGUAGUUGGUGGGGCAACGGCCCACCAAGCCGACGAUGUCUAGGGGAACUGAGAGGUUGAUCCCCCACACUGGUACUGAGACACGGACCAGACUCCUACGGGAGGCAGCAGUGAGGAAUAUUGGUCAAUGGGCGGAAGCCUGAACCAGCCAUCUCGCGUGCAGGACUACGGCCCUACGGGUCUUAAACUGCUUUUAUGGGGGGAUAAAGUCGGGCAUGCGUGUCCGUUUGCAGGUACCCCAUGAAUAAGGAUCGGCUAACUCCGUGCCAGCAGCCGCGGUAAUACGGAGGAUCCGAGCGUUAUCCGGAUUUAUUGGGUUUAAAGGGUGCGCAGGCGGCCCGUUAAGUCAGCGGUGAAAUGUCGGGGCUCAACCCGGGCACUGCCGUUGAAACUGGGGGGCUUGAGUACGGAUGAGGUCGGCGGAAUGUGACGUGUAGCGGUGAAAUGCAUAGAUAUGUCACAGAACACCGAUUGCGAAGGCAGCCGGCCAAUCCGCAACUGACGCUCAUGCACGAAAGCGUGGGGAUCGAACAGGAUUAGAUACCCUGGUAGUCCACGCAGUAAACGAUGAAUGCUAGCUGUUUGCGAUACACUGUAAGUGGCUAAGGGAAACCGAUAAGCAUUCCACCUGGGGAGUACGCCGGCAACGGUGAAACUCAAAGGAAUUGACGG